ACGUUAGCGGCGGACGGGUGAGUAACACGUGGGUAACCUACCUAUAAGACUGGGAUAACUCCGGGAAACCGGGGCUAAUACCGGAUAAUACAUGAAACCGCAUGGUUUCAUGAUGAAAGACGGUUUUGCUGUCACUUAUAGAUGGACCCGCGGCGUAUUAGCUAGUUGGUAAGGUAACGGCUUACCAAGGCAACGAUACGUAGCCGACCUGAGAGGGUGAUCGGCCACACUGGAACUGAGACACGGUCCAGACUCCUACGGGAGGCAGCAGAC
This 273-nucleotide ribosomal RNA is filed under the name uncultured Staphylococcus sp. RNAcentral describes it as "partial 16S ribosomal RNA". It matches the Rfam family "Bacterial small subunit ribosomal RNA", at positions 89 to 354 of the family's 1533-position model. Lineage: Bacteria; Bacillati; Bacillota; Bacilli; Caryophanales; Staphylococcaceae. The record is from RNAcentral.